This 737-nucleotide long non-coding RNA is filed under the name Cercocebus atys (sooty mangabey). RNAcentral's name for it is "lncRNA (ENSCATG00000045904.1)". The record is from RNAcentral. Lineage: Eukaryota; Metazoa; Chordata; Mammalia; Primates; Cercopithecidae.
CUUUGCUUAGAUUCUGUUCCCCAUUGCUUUGACCCUUUCUGUUCCCUGACAGCUGCCUGUGCCUUCCUGCUGGGCCUCAACUUAGAGUGUCUGUUAUUUGUGGUCAAGUAUUAUAAUUCAGCCUCUUGGUAUCCUCUACAGGUGCCAGAAUAGAGGCUUAAGUGGAGUAGGUAUUCAAUAACAGCACUGAACGUUUCACCCAGAAGAGAUCAUUCUCUCAAUAAUUUGAACUUUAAUAUUAAAUUCCAAACCCAGUUUCUAGCUGAGUGCCCUCCUUUGCCAUUUUGUAAUAAUUUUGCUUUUAUUUCCAAGGAUUGCUGAGGCAGUGAAUUGGAGCGGCUAUGUAGUGCUUGCAACCAGUUACCGUAUUUCCCUGAAAGAAUCACCACCAACCAGCUCUUCCAGAAUUUAUGAGGUGCUUCCCUUAUCACCAGCCAUCUCACGCACACGUAGAUGUAGCAAGAGAAGCCUUCAGGAUGAUACAGAUGCACAUCUGGGAGGAAGAAAAACAUGAACGUCCAAGUGAGAUGUUUUCACAGAGGCCUCUUGGAGAUUUCCUGGAAGGCUCCAUGUUGCUUACAGAAGAGGUAGGUGGGAAGAACUUCUGUAAACAGGAAGCGAAAAAGAGCAAAACCGACCACUGAAAUGCCAGCGUCGAAUGGAGGAGGGGCAGCCCCAAGCUGACAGACCCUCCCUGAUUGCAGAGAGGGUCUGGUCCUGAGGGGAGGGGAGAGGAC